This 253-nucleotide unclassified non-coding RNA is filed under the name uncultured Caryophanales bacterium. RNAcentral describes it as "uncultured Bacillales bacterium contains 16S-23S intergenic spacer region". It matches the Rfam family "Bacterial small subunit ribosomal RNA", at positions 524 to 776 of the family's 1533-position model. Lineage: Bacteria; Bacillati; Bacillota; Bacilli; Caryophanales. The record is from RNAcentral.
UACGUAGGUGGGAAGCGUUGUCCGGGAUUAUUGGGCGUAAAGCGCGCGCAGGCGGCCUCUUAAGUCUGAUGUGAAAGCCCCCGGCUCAACCGGGGAGGGCCAUUGGAAACUGGGAGGCUUGAGUAUAGGAGAGAAGAGUGGAAUUCCACGUGUAGCGGUGAAAUGCGUAGAUAUAUGGAGGAACACCGGUGGCGAAAGCGGCUCUCUGGCCUGUAACUGACGCUGAGGCGCGAAAGCGUGGGGAGCAAACAGG